GACGAACGCUGGCGGCGUGCUUAACACAUGCAAGUCGAACGAAGAGCGAUGGAAUCUUGCUUCUAUCAAUCUUAGUGGCGAACGGGUGAGUAACGCGUAAUCAACCUGCCCUUCAGAGGGGGACAACAGUUGGCAACGACUGCUAAUACCGCAUACGAUCUAACCUCGGCAUCGAGGAAAGAUGAAAGGUGGCCUCUAUGUAUAAGCUAUCACUGAAGGAGGGGAUUGCGUCUGAUUAGCUAGUUGGAGGGGUAACGGCCCACCAAGGCGAUGAUCAGUAGCCGGGCUGAGAGGAUGGACGGGCACAAUGGGACUGAGACACGGCCCAGACUCCUACGGGAGGCAGCAGUGGGGAAUCUUCCGCAAUGGACGAAAGUCUGACGGAGCAACGCCGCGUGAGUGAUGACGGCCUUCGGGUUGUAAAGCUCUGUUAAUCGGGACGAAAGGCCUUCUUGCGAAUAGUGAGAAGGAUUGACGGUACCGGAAGAGAAAGCCACGGCUAACUACGUG
Molecule: ribosomal RNA, 510 nt
Filed under: uncultured bacterium
Lineage: Bacteria
Description: partial 16S ribosomal RNA
Rfam family: Bacterial small subunit ribosomal RNA
Source: RNAcentral